Molecule: ribosomal RNA, 493 nt
Filed under: uncultured bacterium
Lineage: Bacteria
Description: partial 16S ribosomal RNA
Rfam family: Bacterial small subunit ribosomal RNA
Source: RNAcentral
GAGUGAACGCUGGCGGUAGGCCUACCACCUGCAAGUCGAACGGCAGCACAGUAAGAGCUUGCUCUUACGGGUGGCGAGUGGCGGACGGGUGAGGAAUACAUCGGAAUCUACUUUUUCGUGGGGGAUAACGUAGGGAAACUUACGCUAAUACCGCAUACGACCUACGGGUGAAAGCAGGGGAUCUUCGGACCUUGCGCGAUUGAAUGAGCCGAUGUCGGAUUAGCUAGUUGGCGGGGUAAAGGCCCACCAAGGCGACGAUCCGUAGCUGGUCUGAGAGGAUGAUCAGCCACACUGGAACUGAGACACGGUCCAGACUCCUACGGGAGGCAGCAGUGGGGAAUAUUGGACAAUGGGCGCAAGCCUGAUCCAGCCAUACCGCGUGGGUGAAGAAGGCCUUCGGGUUGUAAAGCCCUUUUGUUGGGAAAGAAAAGCAGCAGGUUAAUACCCCGCUGUUCUGACGGUACCCAAAGAAUAAGCACCGGCUAACUUCGUG